GACGAACGCUGGCGGCGUGCUUAACACAUGCAAGUCGAACGGGAGUAUUGAAGAAGCUUGCUUUAGAGAUACUUUAGUGGCGGACGGGUGAGUAACGCGUGAGGAGCUGUCCAAUGCAGGGGGACAACAGUUGGAAACGACUGCUAAUACCCCAUAAGCCGAGAGGUAAAAGGAUUUAUCCGGCAGAGGAGGUACUCGCGUCCUAUCAGCUAGUAGGUGAGGUAACGGCUCACCUAGGCGAAGACGGGUAGCCGGCCUGAGAGGGCGAACGGCCACACUGGAACUGAGAUACGGUCCAGACUCCUACGGGAGGCAGCAGUGGGGAAUAUUGGGCAAUGGGGGGAACCCUGACCCAGCGACGCCGCGUGGGUGAAGAAAUCCUUCGGGAUGUAAAGCCCUGUUGUAUGGGAAGAGCGGAAGACGGUACCAUACGAGGAAGCCCCGGCAAACUACGUGCCAGCAGCCGCGGUAAU
Molecule: ribosomal RNA, 473 nt
Filed under: uncultured bacterium
Lineage: Bacteria
Description: bacterial SSU rRNA
Rfam family: Bacterial small subunit ribosomal RNA
Source: RNAcentral